RNAcentral lists this ribosomal RNA (253 nucleotides) under uncultured bacterium. Its description in RNAcentral is "partial 16S ribosomal RNA". It matches the Rfam family "Bacterial small subunit ribosomal RNA", at positions 524 to 776 of the family's 1533-position model. The record is from RNAcentral.
GACGGGGGGGGCAAGUGUUGUUCGGAAUCACUGGGCGUAAAGGGAGCGUAGGCGGGUUCUUAAGUUAGGUGUUUAAUCCCGGGGCCCAACCCCGGACCGGCACUUAAAACUGGGAAUCUUGAAUAGUGGAGAGGUCGGUGGAAUUGGAGGUGUAGCGGUGGAAUGCGUAGAGAUCUCCAAGAACACCAGUUGCGAAGGCGGCCGACUGGACACAUAUUGACGCUGAGGCUCGAAAGCAUGGGGAGCAAACAGG